Canis lupus familiaris (dog) is the source of this 2872-nucleotide RNA transcript. It is a transcript of the gene named CCR4-NOT transcription complex subunit 10, with no coding region annotated. The transcript is spliced from 19 exons. Lineage: Eukaryota; Metazoa; Chordata; Mammalia; Carnivora; Canidae. The record is from RefSeq and is a predicted model, not a curated record.
GACUUAUUUCAGUUUUGAAAAAGCAGCGUAUUUCUUUUCUACUUAGUUCAAACCUAAAGGAAAUUGUUUGGUUCAAAAUGAAGCCUAUUGGCUUAAAGGGUGUCAAGGUUUGUGUGCCUAAGAGCUCUGUAUGCCUGGAAAGUCAACCAUGUUCGUUAAGCCAGAGUAGAAGGAAAGUCAAGCUAAUGGAUGAACGGCCAUACACUCUUACAGUUGGCAAUGGAGACUACUUUUGGACAAAUAAAGACACAUUGUGGAAUUAUGUGCAGGCUCUUUCUGACCAGGGAGCAGAGAAACAUGAAGGGACAAGUCAGUCCUCUGGGAUCACUGAUCAAGAGAAAGAGUUGUCUACCAGUGCUUUCCAAGCUUUUACAGCUGGAAGUUACGAUGCCUGUCUACAGCACCUUGCCUGCCUACAAGAUGUAAACAAAGAUGAUUAUAAAAUAAUUUUGAAUACAGCAGUGGCUGAGUUUUUUAAAAAUAACCAAACAACAACAGAUAGUUUGAGACAAACACUUAACCAGCUGAAGAAUCAGGUCCACUCGGCUGUUGAAGAAAUGGAUGGAUUAGAUGAUGUAGAGAACAGCAUGUUGUAUUACAAUCAGGCAGUCAUUCUUUAUCAUCUGCGGCAGUACACAGAAGCGAUAGCAGUUGGUGAAAAGCUUUACCAGUUCAUAGAACCUUUUGAAGAAAAAUUUGCCCAGGCGGUGUGUUUUUUGCUUGUAGACCUUUAUAUAUUAACCUAUCAAGCUGAGAAAGCUUUGCAUCUUCUUGCUGUCCUAGAAAAAAUGAUAUCACAGGGUAACAAUAACAAAAAUGGAAAAAAUGAGACUGGUAAUAACACCAACAAAGACGGAUUUAAUCAUAAAGCUGAAAGUGGAGCCCUAAUAGAAGCUGCAAAAUCAAAGAUACAUCAGUAUAAAGUGAGAGCUUAUAUCCAAAUGAAGUCCCUGAAAGCAUGCAAAAGGGAAAUCAAGUCAGUGAUGAACACAGCUGGAAAUUCUGCACCCUCUCUGUUUCUUAAAAGCAAUUUUGAGUACUUAAGAGGCAAUUAUCGAAAAGCUGUGAAGCUAUUAAAUAGUUCAAACAUUGCUGAGCAUCCAGGAUUCAUGAAAACAGGUGAAUGCUUGAGAUGCAUGUUCUGGAAUAAUCUUGGUUGCAUUCAUUUUGCCAUGAGCAAGCACAAUCUGGGAAUUUUCUACUUUAAAAAGGCUUUACAGGAGAAUGACAAUGUUUGUGCACAGCUCAGUGCAGGCAGCACUGAUCCAGGCAAAAAAUUUUCAGGACGACCUAUGUGUACAUUACUAACCAACAAGAGGUAUGAGUUGCUGUAUAACUGUGGCAUUCAGCUUCUUCACAUUGGAAGACCUCUUGCUGCCUUUGAGUGUCUGAUUGAAGCUGUUCAGGUUUAUCAUGCAAAUCCACGCCUUUGGCUAAGGCUGGCUGAAUGCUGCAUUGCUGCAAAUAAAGGGACUGCUGAACAAGAAACUAAAGGCCUUCCAAGUAAGAAAGGAAUUGUACAGUCUAUUGUUGGUCAAGGCUAUCAUCGUAAAAUAGUUUUGGCAUCACAGUCCAUACAGAAUACUGUAUAUAAUGAUGGACAAUCUUCAGCCAUUCCAGUAGCCAGUAUGGAGUUUGCAGCCAUUUGUCUCAGAAACGCCUUGUUGCUGUUACCCGAAGAACAGCAAGAUCCAAAGCAGGAAAAUGGAUCUAAAAAUAGUAAUCAGUUAGGUGGGAACACGGAAAGCAGUGAAAGCAGUGAAACUUGCAGCAGUAAAAGCCAUGAUGGAGACAAAUUCAUUCCAGCUCCACCUUCUUCUCCAUUGAGAAAACAGGAAUUAGAAAACUUAAAAUGCUCCAUACUUGCCUGUAGUGCUUACGUGGCUCUGGCUUUGGGUGAUAACCUUAUGGCUUUGAAUCAUGCAGAUAAACUUCUUCAGCAGCCCAAGCUGUCAGGAUCACUUAAGUUUUUGGGCCAUUUAUAUGCUGCAGAAGCCCUCAUCUCUCUGGACAGAAUAUCUGAUGCCAUUACUCACUUGAACCCGGAGAAUGUCACUGAUGUUUCCUUAGGGAUCUCUUCAAAUGAGCAGGACCAAGGUUUAUUUUCAUGUUUUUAUAGGAUCAGACAAAGGUGAAAAUGAAGCAAUGGAAUCCUCUGGGAAGCGGGCCCCUCAGUGCUACCCCAGUUCGGUCACCUCUGCCAGAACCGUGAUGCUGUUUAAUCUUGGCAGCGCCUACUGCCUGAGGAGUGAAUAUGACAAAGCUCGAAAGUGUCUCCACCAGGCGGCUUCAAUGAUCCAUCCUAAAGAGGUGCCGCCUGAAGCCAUCUUAUUGGCAGUCUACCUUGAACUGCAAAAUGGUAAUACCCAGCUGGCCUUACAGAUCAUCAAAAGAAAUCAGCUGCUCCCUGCAGUGAAAACACUGUCUGAAAUGAGAAAGAAGCCAGUGUUCCAGCCUGUCCACCCGAUCCAGCCCAUCCAAAUGCCAGCCUUCACUGCACAAAGAAAGUGACAUUUUUGCUCUCAGAAAACUGUUACUUGAGACCGAGGGGAGUACUUUUGGGCCUUUUUAGUUGUAUCACAGCAAAAUGAAUAAAAGACAGAUGAUGAAAGGUGCUAGUUUUGAAGACACAAUUUUAAAAUGAUUCUAACCCCUGUGGGUUUUUUUUGUUUGUUUGGUUUUUGCUUUUUUGUUUUUUUUUUUGGGGGGGGGGGUUUGGGGGGAGGUCCUGUUUUUGUUUUUUUUGCUGGAAGCUUACUUAAAAUUAAGGAUUCACGAACUCAUUUUCAUGUUUUUCUUUAAUCUUACAUUUUGAGCCAUUAUGUGCUGUAUCCAUGUCAUAGGCAAUUAAAACAUGGUCUUAUCAGAACAA